GAAAUGCGAUAAGUAAUGUGAAUUGCAGAAUUCAGUGAACCAUCGAAUCUUUGAACGCACAUUGCGCCCGCCAGCACUCUGGCGGGCAUGCCUGUCCGAGCGUCGCUUCAACCCUCGAGGCCCGCGCCGCCCGCCGCCGCCGGGGGGCGGGGGAGGGAGGGCGGCGCGGGCCCGGUGUUGGGGGACGGCCCAGCGCCGCCCCCGAAAUGCAGUGGCGAACCCGCCGCGGCCUCCCCUGCGCAGUAAGCACACGCCCUCGCACCGGAGCCCGGACGCGGUCCACGCCGUAAAACGCCCCGACCCCCCAGCGAGUCGACCUCGGAUCAGGUAGGAGUACCCGCUGAACUUAA
This 350-nucleotide unclassified non-coding RNA is filed under the name uncultured Trichoderma. Its description in RNAcentral is "sequence contains ITS1". The stretch from base 1 to 105 matches the Rfam family "5.8S ribosomal RNA", at positions 50 to 154 of the family's 154-position model. Lineage: Eukaryota; Fungi; Ascomycota; Sordariomycetes; Hypocreales; Hypocreaceae. The record is from RNAcentral.